This 301-nucleotide ribosomal RNA is filed under the name uncultured bacterium. RNAcentral describes it as "partial 16S ribosomal RNA". It matches the Rfam family "Bacterial small subunit ribosomal RNA", at positions 509 to 807 of the family's 1533-position model. The record is from RNAcentral.
CAGCCGCCGCGGGAAUACGUAGGGUGCAAGCGUUAAUCGGAAUUACUGGGCGUAAAGCGUGCGCAGGCGGUUUGUUAAGACAGAUGUGAAAUCCCCGGGCUCAACCUGGGAACUGCAUUUGUGACUGGCAAGCUAGAGUGUGGCAGAGGGAGGUGGAAUUCCGCGUGUAGCAGUGAAAUGCGUAGAUAUGCGGAGGAACACCGAUGGCGAAGGCAGCCCCCUGGGCCAACACUGACGCUCAUGCACGAAAGCGUGGGGAGCAAACAGGAUUAGAUACCCCUGUAGUCCCUGUCUCUUAUAC